GACGAACGCUGGCGGCGUGCUUAACACAUGCCAGUCGAACGGAAAGGCCUCUUUCGGGGGGUACUCGAGUGGCGAACGGGUGAGUAACACGUGGGUAACCUGCCCUUGACUUUGGGAUAACUUCAGGAAACUGGGGCUAAUACCGGAUAGGAGCUCCUGCUGCAUGGUGGGGGUUGGAAAGUUUCGGCGGUUGGGGAUGGACUCGCGGCUUAUCAGCUUGUUGGUGGGGUAGUGGCUUACCAAGGCUUUGACGGGUAGCCGGCCUGAGAGGGUGACCGGCCACAUUGGGACUGAGAUACGGCCCAGACUCCUACGGGAGGCAGCAGUGGGGAAUAUUGCACAAUGGGUGGAAGCCUGAUGCAGCAACGCCGUGUGCGGGAUGACGGCCUUCGGGUUGUAAACCGCUUUCGCUCAUGUCGAAGCUUUGUGUGACGGUAGUGGGUAAAGAAGCACCGGCUAACUACGUG
Molecule: ribosomal RNA, 467 nt
Filed under: uncultured bacterium
Lineage: Bacteria
Description: partial 16S ribosomal RNA
Rfam family: Bacterial small subunit ribosomal RNA
Source: RNAcentral